Acinonyx jubatus (cheetah) is the source of this 667-nucleotide long non-coding RNA. RefSeq lists it as uncharacterized. Lineage: Eukaryota; Metazoa; Chordata; Mammalia; Carnivora; Felidae. The transcript has 3 exons. The record is from RefSeq and is a predicted model, not a curated record.
GAGAGAAUUUGUCAACUCCUGAUCUACAGACAUGAAUUGUCCAGGAAAAUUUGGACUAGGAGGCUGGGGUUUCUUCUUUGCCCAGAAGCCUGUAACCGGUGCUGUCUUUAUUCUUCAGGGCUGCUACAGCCUACCAUAGACUGCGUAGCUUAUCAACAACAGAGAUGCAUUGCUCACAGUCCUGGAGGCUGAGAAGUCCAAGACCAAAGCACCUGCAUGGUCAGCUUCUGGGGUCAGGCAACAUGCUACUUACUCCCUCAUGUGUUUCAUCUUGGUCGCGGCCACUGUGCUGUUGAAUGUUGUUAGUCCCGGGGACACGUCUGGAGCUGUGCUGGGGAUCGUCCUCGCAUCUGAAAAUCAAUGCACAGCCCUUAUUGACUUCAUCAGCACCCGGCAACUUCCAGGCAACAUUCAAGGGCAAUCAGAAAACAGAAGUUAAUCCACCUGUGCCACUAGGGCCCUCCUGGGGGCACUCCCAGAUAAAGGUCCUGCCUGCUCAACUUUACGUCAGAGGCUGCUUCCUGAAGAACCCAGGCCAUGACACAUGGGUACCUGGUUGGGGGGAUGUGGGGGCAUGAAGGUGGUUCUCUCAUUGACUUCAACAAGUUGAGUAAUAAAUAAGAAUUAAAAUAAAUAUACAAAUGGAGCCCUAUACUCCCACCCCACA